This 254-nucleotide ribosomal RNA is filed under the name uncultured bacterium. Its description in RNAcentral is "partial 16S ribosomal RNA". It matches the Rfam family "Bacterial small subunit ribosomal RNA", at positions 524 to 777 of the family's 1533-position model. The record is from RNAcentral.
UACAGAGGAUGCAAGCGUUAUCCGGAAUGAUUGGGCGUAAAGCGUCUGUAGGUGGCUUUUUAAGUCCGCCGUCAAAUCCCAGGGCUCAACUCUGGACAGGCGGUGGAAACUACCAAGCUGGAGUACGGUAGGGGCAGAGGGAAUUUCCGGUGGAGCGGUGAAAUGCGUAGAGAUCGGAAAGAACACCAACGGCGAAGGCAGCUCGCUGGGACGGUACUGACGCUGAGGCGCGAAAGCGUGGGGAGCAAACAGGG